UCGAUGAAGAACGCAGCUAGCUGCGAUAAUUAGUGCGAAUUGCAGACGCGUUGAGCACAAAAAUUUCGAACGCACAUUGCACCAUCGGGUUCAUUCCCGAUGGUACGUCUGGUUGAGGGUC
Molecule: ribosomal RNA, 121 nt
Filed under: Serratospiculum tendo
Lineage: Eukaryota; Metazoa; Nematoda; Chromadorea; Rhabditida; Diplotriaenidae
Description: partial 5.8S ribosomal RNA
Rfam family: 5.8S ribosomal RNA
About the family: 5.8S ribosomal RNA (5.8S rRNA) is a component of the large subunit of the eukaryotic ribosome. It is transcribed by RNA polymerase I as part of the 45S precursor that also contains 18S and 28S rRNA. Functionally, it is thought that 5.8S rRNA may be involved in ribosome translocation.
Source: RNAcentral